CCUACGGGGGGCUGCAGUGGGGAAUAUUGGACAAUGGGGGCAACCCUGAUCCAGCCAUGCCGCGUGUGUGAAGAAGGCCCUCGGGUUGUAAAGCACUUUCAGUGAGGAAGAACGCCUGGUGGUUAAUACCCAUCAGGAAAGACAUCACUCACAGAAGAAGCACCGGCUAACUCCGUGCCAGCAGCCGCGGUAAUACGGAGGGUGCGAGCGUUAAUCGGAAUUACUGGGCGUAAAGCGCGCGUAGGUGGCUUGAUAAGCCGGUUGUGAAAGCCCCGGGCUCAACCUGGGAACGGCAUCCGGAACUGUCAAGCUAGAGUGCAGGAGAGGAAGGUAGAAUUCCCGGUGUAGCGGUGAAAUGCGUAGAGAUCGGGAGGAAUACCAGUGGCGAAGGCGGCCUUCUGGACUGAAACUGACACUGAGGUGCGAAAGCGUGGGUAGCAAACAGGAUUAGAUACCCUGGUAGUC
This 465-nucleotide ribosomal RNA is filed under the name Vreelandella stevensii. RNAcentral describes it as "partial 16S ribosomal RNA". It matches the Rfam family "Bacterial small subunit ribosomal RNA", at positions 338 to 795 of the family's 1533-position model. The record is from RNAcentral. Lineage: Bacteria; Pseudomonadati; Pseudomonadota; Gammaproteobacteria; Oceanospirillales; Halomonadaceae.